Molecule: ribosomal RNA, 500 nt
Filed under: uncultured bacterium
Lineage: Bacteria
Description: partial 16S ribosomal RNA
Rfam family: Bacterial small subunit ribosomal RNA
Source: RNAcentral
AUUGAACGCUGGCGGCGUGCUUAACACAUGCAAGUCGAUCGGUAACGCGGGGGCAACCCUGGCGACGAGAGGCGGACGGGUGAGGAACGCUUGGGAAUCUGCCCUUCAGCGGGGGACAACACGGGGAAACUCGUGCUAAUACCGCAUACGCUCCACGGAGGAAAGCCGGGGACCGCAAGGCCUGGCACUGAAGGAUGAGCCCAAGUCGGAUUAGCUCGUUGGCGGGGUAACGGCCCACCAAGGCGACGAUCCGUAGCUGGUCUGAGAGGACGAUCAGCCAGACUGGGACGGAGACACGGCCCAGACUCCUACGGGAGGCAGCAGUGGGGAAUAUUGGACAAUGGGGGAAACCCUGAUCCAGCGACGCCGCGUGGGUGAAGAAGGCCUGCGGGUUGUAAAGCCCUUCCGGUAGGGACGAAAGCUCUCGACCUAACACGUCGGGAGGUUGACUUAACCUACAAAAGAAGCACCGGCUAACUCUGUGCCAGCAGCCGCCGUAA